GAGUUUGAUCAUGGCUCAGAACGAACGCUGGCGGCAUGCCUAACACAUGCAAGUCGAACGGGAUCCAGGCUUCGGCCUGGUGAGAGUGGCGGACGGGUGAGUAACGCGUGGGAACCUGCCCAAUGGUCUGGGAUAACCGCGGGAAACUGCGGCUAAUACCGGAUAAGCCCGAGAGGGGAAAGAUUUAUCGCCGAUGGAGGGGCCCGCGUCCGAUUAGGUAGUUGGUGAGGUAACGGCUCACCAAGCCGACGAUCGGUAGCUGGUCUGAGAGGAUGAUCAGCCACACUGGGACUGAGAUACGGCCCAGACUCCUACGGGAGGCAGCAGUGGGGAAUAUUGGAC
Molecule: ribosomal RNA, 342 nt
Filed under: uncultured Alphaproteobacteria bacterium
Lineage: Bacteria; Pseudomonadati; Pseudomonadota; Alphaproteobacteria
Description: bacterial SSU rRNA
Rfam family: Bacterial small subunit ribosomal RNA
Source: RNAcentral